This 424-nucleotide ribosomal RNA is filed under the name uncultured bacterium. RNAcentral's name for it is "bacterial SSU rRNA". It matches the Rfam family "Bacterial small subunit ribosomal RNA", at positions 358 to 774 of the family's 1533-position model. The record is from RNAcentral.
GGAAUCUUCCACAAUGGGCGAAAGCCUGAUGGAGCAACGCCGCGUGUGUGACGAAGGCUUUCGGGUCGUAAAGCACUGUUGUAUGGGAAGAACAGCUAGAAUAGGGAAUGAUUUUAGUUUGACGGUACCAUACCAGAAAGCCACGGCUAACUACGUGCCAGCAGCCGCGGUAAUACGUAGGUGGCAAGCGUUGUCCGGAUUUAUUGGGCGUAAAGCGAGCGCAGGCGGUUUCUUAAGUCUGAUGUGAAAGCCCCCGGCUCAACCGGGGAGGGUCAUUGGAAACUGGGAGACUUGAGUGCAGAAGAGGAGAGUGGAAUUCCAUGUGUAGCGGUGAAAUGCGUAGAUAUAUGGAGGAACACCAGUGGCGAAGGCGGCUCUCUGGUCUGUAACUGACGCUGAGGCUCGAAAGCGUGGGGAGCGAACA